GACGAACGCUGGCGGCGUGCUUAACACAUGCAAGUCGAACGGAAAGGCCCUGCUUUUGUGGGGUGCUCGAGUGGCGAACGGGUAAGUAACACGUGAGUAACCUGCCCUUGACUUUGGGAUAACUUCAGGAAACUGGGGCUAAUACCGGAUAGGAGCUCCUGCUGCAUGGUGGGGGUUGGAAAGUUUCGGCGGUUGGGGAUGGACUCGCGGCUUAUCAGCUUGUUGGUGGGGUAGUGGCUUACCAAGGCUUUGACGGGUAGCCGGCCUGAGAGGGUGACCGGCCGCAUUGGGACUGAGAUACGGCCCAGACUCCUACGGGAGGCAGCAGUGGGGAAUAUUGCACAAUGGGCGGAAGCCUGAUGCAGCAACGCCGCGUGCGGGAUGACGGCCUUCGGGUUGUAAACCGCUUUCGCCUGUGACGAAGCGUGAAUGACGGUAAUGGGUAAAGAAGCACCGGCUAACUACGUG
Molecule: ribosomal RNA, 468 nt
Filed under: uncultured bacterium
Lineage: Bacteria
Description: partial 16S ribosomal RNA
Rfam family: Bacterial small subunit ribosomal RNA
Source: RNAcentral